Molecule: ribosomal RNA, 207 nt
Filed under: uncultured bacterium
Lineage: Bacteria
Description: partial 16S ribosomal RNA
Rfam family: Bacterial small subunit ribosomal RNA
Source: RNAcentral
AGCGCAGGCGGACCGGCAAGUUGGAAGUGAAAACUAUGGGCUCAACCCAUAAAUUGCUUUCAAAACUGCUGGCCUUGAGUAGUGCAGAGGUAGGUGGAAUUCCCGGUGUAGCGGUGGAAUGCGUAGAUAUCGGGAGGAACACCAGUGGCGAAGGCAGGUUUCCAGUACAUAACUGACGCUCAGGUGCGAAGGUGCGGGGAUCAAACA